This 58-nucleotide transfer RNA is filed under the name Pallaseopsis kessleri. RNAcentral describes it as "tRNA-Ala". The record is from RNAcentral. Lineage: Eukaryota; Metazoa; Arthropoda; Malacostraca; Amphipoda; Pallaseidae.
AGGGUUGUAGUUUUGAGAACGACUAACUUGCACUUAGAAGGUACUAAAGUCUACCCUU